RNAcentral lists this ribosomal RNA (253 nucleotides) under uncultured bacterium. RNAcentral describes it as "partial 16S ribosomal RNA". It matches the Rfam family "Bacterial small subunit ribosomal RNA", at positions 524 to 776 of the family's 1533-position model. The record is from RNAcentral.
UACAGAGGGUGCGAGCGUUACUCGGAAUUACUGGGCGUAAAGCGCACGUAGGUGGCUUUGCAAGUCGAUUGUGAAAUCCCCGGGCUCAACCUGGGAACUGCAGUCGAGACUGCUUUGCUUGAGUAUGGGAGAGGGAGGUGGAAUUUCCGGUGUAGCGGUGAAAUGCGUAGAUAUCGGCAGGAACACCCGUGGCGGAAACGGCCACCUAGCCCGCACCUGACGCUGAGGCGCGACAGCGUGGGGAGCGAACGGG